This 667-nucleotide ribosomal RNA is filed under the name Debaryomyces hansenii. RNAcentral describes it as "partial large subunit ribosomal RNA". The stretch from base 1 to 583 matches the Rfam family "Eukaryotic large subunit ribosomal RNA", at positions 64 to 664 of the family's 3401-position model. The record is from RNAcentral. Lineage: Eukaryota; Fungi; Ascomycota; Pichiomycetes; Serinales; Debaryomycetaceae.
CCCUCGAGGGUAUUGCCUUAGUACGGCGAGUGAAGCGGCAAAAGCUCAAAUUUGAAAUCUGGCACCUUCGGUGUCCGAGUUGUAAUUUGAAGAAGGUAACUUUGGAGUUGGCUCUUGUCUAUGUUCCUUGGAACAGGACGUCACAGAGGGUGAGAAUCCCGUGCGAUGAGAUGCCCAAUUCUAUGUAAAGUGCUUUCGAAGAGUCGAGUUGUUUGGGAAUGCAGCUCUAAGUGGGUGGUAAAUUCCAUCUAAAGCUAAAUAUUGGCGAGAGACCGAUAGCGAACAAGUACAGUGAUGGAAAGAUGAAAAGAACUUUGAAAAGAGAGUGAAAAAGUACGUGAAAUUGUUGAAAGGGAAGGGCUUGAGAUCAGACUUGGUAUUUUGCGAUCCUUUCCUUCUUGGUUGGGUUCCUCGCAGCUUACUGGGCCAGCAUCGGUUUGGAUGGUAGGAUAAUGACUAAGGAAUGUGGCUCUACUUCGGUGGAGUGUUAUAGCCUUGGUUGAUACUGCCUGUCUAGACCGAGGACUGCGUCUUUUGACUAGGAUGUUGGCAUAAUGAUCUUAAGCCACCCCUCUUAAAAGGGGACCCAAAAAAAAAAGGGGAGAAAAAAAAAAAAAACCCCAGCGAAUAAGGAUUCGGGAGAAAGUGACUUGGAGGGGGGGCGGGU